UCCAAAUGAGGAAGUCCAUUUUCGUCACCCUCUUCGUCUAGAUCCAUCUGAUCAAUCUCAACAAAAUAAGCAAUAGACUGGCCAAAUGGAAGUAUAAGAGGACUGUCAAGCUGACGUCCAAAAAGUUCAAUGUAGGGAGACAACAUGAUUUUUCGCAGUAUAUUUGUCUUGGUAUCAAAGCACAUGACUAACUGAUUUAACUCGUCGGAACCAAACCCUACCCAAACAGUACCAUUGACAAACACCGCCGUAUCACUUGACACUCGACCAACAAAAACCUUAUCUUGGC
RNAcentral lists this long non-coding RNA (289 nucleotides) under Daucus carota (carrot). Its description in RNAcentral is "long non-coding RNA (DCAR_LNC001309)". The record is from RNAcentral. Lineage: Eukaryota; Viridiplantae; Streptophyta; Magnoliopsida; Apiales; Apiaceae.